GUGCUUGCUUCGGCAUCACAUAUACUAAAAUUGGAAUGAUACAGAGAAGACUAGCAUGGCCCCCUUGCAAGGAUGACAUGCAAAUUUGUGAAGCAUUCCAUAUUUUU
Molecule: small nuclear RNA, 107 nt
Organism: Loxodonta africana (African savanna elephant)
Lineage: Eukaryota; Metazoa; Chordata; Mammalia; Proboscidea; Elephantidae
Source: Ensembl